CCUACGGGUGGCAGCAGUGAGGAAUAUUGGUCAAUGGACGAGAGUCUGAACCAGCCAAGUAGCGUGAAGGAUGACUGCCCUAUGGGUUGUAAACUUCUUUUAUAUGGGAAUAAACUGUUCCACGUGUGGGUUUUUGUAUGUACCAUAUGAAUAAGGAUCGGCUAACUCCGUGCCAGCAGCCGCGGUAAUACGGAGGAUCCGAGCGUUAUCCGGAUUUAUUGGGUUUAAAGGGUGCGUAGGUGGAUUGUUAAGUCAGUUGUGAAAUUUUGCGACUCAACGUUAAAAUUGCAGUUGAUACUGGCAGUCUUGAGUGCAGUAGAGGUGGGCGGAAUGCGUGGUGUAGCGGUGAAAUGCUUAGAUAUCACGAAGAACUCCGAUUGCGAAGGCAGUUCACUGGACUGCAACUGACACUGAGGCUCGAAAGUGUGGGGAGCAAACAGGAUUAGAUACCCGUGUAGUC
RNAcentral lists this ribosomal RNA (460 nucleotides) under uncultured bacterium. Its description in RNAcentral is "partial 16S ribosomal RNA". It matches the Rfam family "Bacterial small subunit ribosomal RNA", at positions 338 to 795 of the family's 1533-position model. The record is from RNAcentral.